This is a non-coding RNA of Lepisosteus oculatus (spotted gar), 10708 nucleotides long. Lineage: Eukaryota; Metazoa; Chordata; Actinopteri; Semionotiformes; Lepisosteidae. The record is from RefSeq and is a predicted model, not a curated record.
AAGCUAGAGACGUACUGUAGAUUUACUUGAGGUAUUUUUACUAGAAGUUAACAGAUUCACGUUUUCUGCAAUUGUACACAUGCCGGCGCUGCCCGGCCAAACAGAAGGGGGAAAGCAAAUAUACAGUACAAAAAAGAUUGUUCAUGAAUUAAACAUAAUCUACAUUAAACUACGUUGUUUUCCUUGUAGUUCUUCUUGUAUUUCAUUCAACGGGGGGGUUUGUGAACUCAACCUGUAACCCUUCGGAUUACCCUCCCAGUGACAGCGGCAGGAUCAGAGAGGAGCUUUUCAGAGCUCAAGUUGAUUAUAACUUCGGAAAUACAGCAUUAAAAUCCAGUGAAAAACUUUCACAUCCAGGAGAGAGUGAAUAUGGUGUAUGACAGAUUACGCACAAGAGAGCCCAUUUUCAGCUGGAAAGAGGUGGUUUAUAGGAAAUAUUAAAGUAAAAACAGUCAAAAACACUGGACUUCACAAGACCCUACAGAAGACCCUGUGACUAGUUACUGAUGAAUUAUAAAAACUGAUCCGUUGAAAGUCACUAACACUGUAGAUCAGCAAAGAACUUCACAGGAAAGAACAUGCUGAGCUGCAGGGGAUCUGGCAGAAGACCAGUUUCAGGAGGAGAAGGACAGGGCUGGAGCCGAGAGAGGAAGAAGGAGGACCUCGCACAGAGAGAACAGGAGAAGGAAUUCCGUCUUGGUAGAUCCCAAAGACUUAUAGGGAAGAAAAUCUGGGAGAGGAGCGCAGUGCGAGGAGUGUACAGUGAGCUGUACACAACAAGGGGAAAGAUAAAUGUUAGUGGUAAUCAAGUGCUUGCCAGGACUUCCUGGAUGAGGUUAAAAGAAGAAACACAGAGGCAGGCGGGACUUUUCCAAAAGCUUUUCUCAAGAGGAGAUCAGGAAGAUUUUGCCCCAAGAGCGCAAUUAGGUGUGGCAACUCAAAUUCCUUAGCUGUUUGUGAUUGCCAGGGGACAGAAGACUCACAGGGGUGGGUGUAUUCUCUGAUCUUUUUUAGUACAGUUUUUAUGAGGAAUGUCCACAGAGGUUACAUUGCUUGGACAACAAAAAGUGAUGCCACGGUGAAAAGCUUGUGAGAAUUGUUUCUGGCUCUUCACUUUUAGCAGCCUGUUUUAAAGACGCCUAUCCCAGACCCUCUCCUUCCCCAGAAAUGGGUUCGGCUGGGUGCACCCCUUGCUUCCUUCAGGGAUGAGUACCAGUCUGCUGCAGGGUCGGUCCUUCUAUUGCCGGGAAUGGGCCCUGAACAAGAUCCAGCACUGGCUAGAGAGCCGGGCUGUGGGUCGGACUCAGGGGGUCGUGAUCACCGGGGGCCCGGGCAGUGGGAAGACUGCCCUGUGCACCGAGCUGCUCUGGCCAACUUCCGAGGCCUGGGCCCGCGCUAACCUGGCAUCCCGGUGCCUGGCUGCCCACUUUUGCCAGUGGGAAGACAGAAGGACGGUGUCAGUGUCCGGCUUUAUCCUGGGAUUGGUGGAGCAGCUCCAGAAGAGCCCCCAGCUCUUGGGCUACAGUGAAAGAGUGGCAGCCCCCGCAGUCCAGACAGCUUUGGAGCCACUGCAAUGUGAGAGGGACCCCGACGAGGCUUUCAAAAGGGCAGUGCUGCUGCCUCUGCUGGACGUACCCGCUCCAUCCCAGACCCUGCUUCUCCUGGUGGAUGGUCUCGACUCCGGGUGGAUGGAGGUGGCUGUAGAUAGGCAGGCUGUGGAGAAGAGCAGCUCCAUCGCGGAGCUUCUGUCCAGCCACCAGCAGCUCCUCCCAGGGUGGCUGCUGCUCAUCUGCUCCACACGCCGCCAGAACAAAGCAAUAAGCAAAAUGUUUUCAGGUUUCCGGAAGCUGUGUCUUGAUGACCUUCGCAAGGCUCACACUGUGCGAGAUGUGCAGCAGUACAUCCUGUUGCGGCUGGAUAAGGAGGGAUCCCUUCGGAGGCAUCUCACGCCUGAGACAGCCGACAUGCUCAACCAGUUGCACAUUAAGAGCAAUGGGUGCUUCCUUUUCCUGGAGCGAGUCCUGGAUGGGGUGGUGGAGAACUUUGUGGCCAUAAGAGAGAUUCGAGACAUCCCGGGCACACUGAAUGGGCUGUACCUGUGGCUCUGCCAGAGGCUUUUCCCCAGAAAGCUUUUCUCCCGGGUGCAACCCGUGUUGAAUGUCCUACUGGCCACUCCCCAUCCCCUUACGCUGAAUGAACUUUAUACUGCAGUCUGGACAAAAGAUAUGGAUCUAGCCCUUCCUGAUUUUCAGGGCAAACUGGAUGCCCUUUCUAUGGUCUUGAUUGAUGGACCUCAUGGCACCAAGCUCCUGUUUCAUGCCAGCUUUGCUGAGUGGCUGACAGAUGUCAAGUAUUGCACACAGAAGUACCUCUGCAACCUGGCUGAGGGCCAUGGCAUGCUUGCUAUGUCUCUCACUCUCCGGGGACCACAGCUUUCCUCAGAGGAAGUGUAUCGACUUGCCUUUCACUUGGUCAGCUCUAACUUGCAUUCAGACAACCUGACUCUUUUGGCAUUGUGGAUAGUUUGGAAUGAUGUGCCUUCUUUCACAGGUAAUUCCCUGGAUCCGGACUCUUUACCCCUUACUGCAGUUCAACAGGAAGUUCUGCAAUUACUAAUGAAAACUGGUCUUUGCUCACCUUUGUUCUCAGAUUCCAAUAAUUUGUGCAUCGGAUGUGUAUCAAAUGGAAGAGUAAUUAGAAAAGCCCUGGAGAGAGAGGACUCUGUUCGAGUUUUAUUGGAAAAUGGUGCAAGUGUAAACCAGACUGAUCCCAGUGAUGGACGGUCUUUGCUAGCUAGUGCAGCCCAUGCAGGUUCAGCAGAUGUGGUGGCCCUACUUCUCUCUAGAGGAGCUGAUCCAGAGAUCACUGAUAACCAUGGACAGACACCUCUGACUUUGGCAGCUCGUCAGGGCCAUGCCAAGGUGGUGCAGUGCUUGCUGGGGUGGGCCCGAUGUGAGAAUGGUGCCUUACGAAUGAUUGACCAUGCUGAUAUUGAAGGCUGGACUGCUCUGCGCUCUGCAGCAUGGGGUGGCCACGCAGAGGUUGUUCGUCUUCUUCUAGAUGCUGGUGCAGAUGUGGAUGGAUGUGACUCCGAGGGACGGACAGCCCUGCGGGCUGCAGCCUGGGGGGGACACGAGGAAAUAAUCUGUACUUUACUAGAUCAUGGUGCACAGGUUGACCUCCCAGACCGGGAUAGACGCACUCCUCUCAUUGCAGCAGCCUACAUGGGUCAUCGGGAUGCAGUAGAGAUAUUGCUAGACCAUAAUGCCCAGGUAGACCUGCGGGACAAAGAUGGACGUACAGCCCUGUCAGUGGCUGCCCUGUGUGUGCCCUCAGCUGCUGGACGAGGCUACGGGGAUGUAGUGAGUUUGCUUUUAGACCGAGGAGCUGAUCCUGGUCACAAGGACCAAGAUGGGAUGACUCCUUUGCUGCUGGCUGCCUAUGAAGGCCACGAGGAGGUGGUGGAGUUGCUUUUAGAAGCUGGUGCAGAUGUGGAUGAAGGGGCAGGGCUUCAUGGUGGUUCUGCUGCAGUGACACCAUUGCUUGCUGCAGCCUCAAUGGGUCACAUUUUGGUAGUGAACAUGCUGCUCUUUUGGGGGGCAGCUGUUGAUGCUAUUGAUGGUGAGGGACGCACAGCUCUGAGCCUGGCAGCAACCCGUGGCAGUGUGGAGGUAGUGCGAACACUACUGGACCGUGGGCUGGAUGAGAACCACAGAGAUGAUUUGGGCUGGACACCCCUGCAUGCAGCUGCCUGUGAAGGGCACAGAGGAGUAUGUGCAGCCUUAACUGAGCGGGGCAGCAUGGCCAGAGUGAAUGAGCUAGACAAUGAUGGGAGAACACCACUUAUCUUGGCUGCCCAGGAAGGACACUGUGACACUGUGAAACUGCUGCUUGACAGGCGUUCCCCCAUCAGCCACAGGGCUUAUGAUGGGCAUUCUGCACUAAGUGCAGCUGCCCUUGAAAACCACAGAGAAGUGGUGGAACAUUUGUUGAGACGAGGAGCUGAUCCAGACGUUAGGGAUGCUGAGGGCAGGCCUUUGCUUUACCUCCUAGUUCUUGAAGGGUGUCUUGAUAUGGCAUCCCUGUUCCUUGAAAAAGCGAACGUUCCAUUGGAAUCUCAAGAUGCUGAAGGUAGGACAGCUCUGCAUGUGGCUUCUUGGCAUGGACAGCUAGAGGCCAUCAGGCUGCUUCUUCAACAUGGCGCUAAUGCGAAUGCUCAGGAUGUAGAGGGUCGUCCUCCUUUACAUUCUGCUGCAUGGCAGGGCCAUGCAAGUGCUGCAAGCCUCCUUAUUGAAUCUGGGGGUGCAAAUGUGGACCAAACGUGUCACCAGCAAGCAGCCACUGCCCUCUGCAUUGCUGCCCAGGAGGGUCACACAGAGGUAGUAGAGGUCUUGUUGGCAAAAAGAGCUAACCCAACCCAUGCAGACAAGUAUGGACGUACCCCUGUUAAAGUAGCUGGCAAGAGAGGUCAUACCAAGAUUGUACGACUUUUGGAGAGCUAUGGGGCACCACACUAUGUGGGAUUAUUGCCCUCCUCCCCUUGUAUGCAGCAGUCAGAGACAUGCACCAUGAAGACUCAAUCCUCUGGGAUUACGUCUGCCAGCUCAGGAAGCACAGGAGAAAACUAUAGGGAUCAAGGGCUGCCUUCUCUUCAGCACAAUCAGACAGCCAGCUCCUCGUCUUGUUCUCCUGGAUCUACCACUGAAAGGUACAAAUCUUUAGUUGCUUCAGAAAACUCUGCCCAGAGCUCCAAGAACUCAUCUUCCACUUGCCACUCCCUGGCAACUACACAGACGGUGCCGGUGGAUAGCUUGAGUUUCACACAGCAGAUCCAGCAGCACUCACUUCCACGGAGCAGAAGCAGGCCCUCCACCGUGGUGUCCCCAAACUCCACACUGCGCAGCAAUGGCAACAAACACAAAGUCAGUCCACUUUCACCACAGCCCAUUUUUGACUCUGCUGUUCCAGGCAAGCCCAUUGUGGUCUCAGGCUCUGUGGUGGCAAUGGGAGACUGUCUGAAGCCCAAGAUUCCUGCUCCCCCUCAAAAGGCUGAGGGUCUUGGGAUGAAAGUCCUGGAAAAGACCCAGAGUCCCCAGCUCACUGGUGGGGGAAAGUGGAACUCUGUCAUGGCUUCUCUUGGUGUUACACCUGGGCAAGAAAGUCCUACACGAUCCCUAAAGACAAGGGACAGCCCACCUCUUGGAUAUCCUAUCACAGGGAGUCCAACGGGAGGCUCUCAGCAGGAAGAGAGGGAUGUUACUCUGAAGACGGCUGAACCCCCUCUCUGCAUUCCAGCUGGACCCAGUCCCAGUGCCUUACCAGCUGAGCCUCUGUUUUCCUUAACCACCAUGGACCCACAACUACACCUUAAACAAGCCAUCAAGCUGCAGUUUGAGGGACCAACUAGUGCUGUGCUCUACAAGAGGGAAACCCCUUUGUAAGGUCAAUGUGGGGACGUGAAAUGGCUGGAAAACAGUGAUUUUAAGACUUCCUGUGAAGAGGAGAGGAAAUUACCACUGACAUUGUCUCUUAACAUUCUAAUGAAUAGGUAACAGCGCAGCCAUCUCUUGAUGCUAUCCAGGUUGGGAUAAGCUGGUUGAACAAGGACAGAUCGGAGAGAAUUUAAAUGUAAGUGCAUGGACUCAUAAAUGGAGGCACACGAAUGUACUGUACCUGGCUACAGUGAGGGCUUUCUUUUAAACCAGAACUGAAUGCAAGAGAAAGUGUUUUUGAACAUUAGUAGGUUCAGAAGAUUGCCUAGAGCGUGUCCUAACUGGUUCUGAUCAUGCCUAUAGGCAAAUACAAUACAAACAACAUGGUAUAUAUUUUACAGGAUCCCUGAAGGUUAGAGAAGUUGGUGGUUUGGACCAAGAUAGGCAAGGGUGACUGCAACACACUAGAGUAGGUCCAGCCUCUGGUCAUUAUGGUUAUAUUUCCUAUUAUGCAGUGUAAAUACAUGAAUGUGUGGGGUUUAUGUACAUAGAUCCAACUCUGCCACAGUACUGUUAAGGAGGACCUGCCACAAUGACAUAACUGAGAGAUGUUCCAUGAAGGAGCAGUUAAAUGAGCACUUUCUAUAAAGCACCAGGCUUUAAGUUGGAAACUGGAGGUAGAGAAGAAACCUGCUGUGGUGUGCUUACUAUUUAUCAGGAAACAUCACCAGUGCGUUUCCACUUCCAGAAAGGUUUGCUGAAAAAUGUGCCUGGGUGUAAUUGAUGGCAUUGUUCAGCAGAGCUGUGUACUUGACUCUUUAAUUUGAAUAACAACUGCAAGAAUGUCAGCACUGUGUGGCUAUAUGGAUAAGUGGAUAAGAGGGGUUCAUCUACUGAAAGAGGGUAAGAAUUUCUCAAGUCUAUAUGUUUUCAGAAAUUCGUUUCAGAAUCAGAAAUACUAAUUUACUUAUCAGAAAUAAAACAGUUUUAAUUGUUUUAUUCAUUGAUUGCAAAGAAUAUUCUGAAAAUCCUGGUACAGGAUAUUCUAAUCUGAAUACAAAAGGAAAUCAGUCCAUUAAUUUUAAUUACUUGUAAAUCUUUUCUAAUAAAUAAAUUAGAACCAUUUCAUCCAUCUCUAGUGUUAUGCAGUCUGGCAGCUGAAUUUCACAUGUUCUCACUGAUUGAAGCAAUAAAGCUAUUGAGAUAUGUAAAAGGAAAUUAAAAUAUAAUUGUUAGUAGUCAUUAAAGCUUGUUUUUUAAUCCAAGUUGAAAUCUACUUCAAUACAAGAAGAUCUUAUAAUUCACUUUCCAAUUCCAGCAGUCACUGUUGACAGUGUUUUCAGAUGCAGUAUUAACUGAAAUGACCAGAUAUUUACGUUUGUAUCAGAAAGAGUUUAAAGGACGCUAAAGGACACAGCAGUAUUUAGUCUGGCUGCAGUUUUUUCUGUCAAUGUAUGUCUUUUCAGAAAAGCAAUAUCAUAUAUAAAUAGUCUGUAAAUCUUUGCUAAUUGCAUAAUACUGUAGUGCAAAUUGGAGGAAAAAAAACAACGUCAUGUGAAAGCAGGAUUGGAAAGUCAUCACAGUGAUCCUACAACAAUUCAUGUGGGGAUGCUCUUUUGUUAUUUUUCUGCAAUUUGUGGUGUGUUUAAAGAUUUGAAGGAGUUGAAAAUGGAUGCUAUUCCAGGUUUAAAAGGACUCCGGGACUGAGUCUUGAGAUGUUGGAACCUUGCUUUUUAGGGUGUGAGAGGUUCUGGGAAGAGGAUAGCAUCCUUAUGGAAGUUGACAGUGAGUCUACAGCAGUGUUUAACACUUCAGCACGCGGGAAAUAUUUUCUUACAGGAGAUGGUACCCUAUGGCAGAAUGAGGUGUCUGAAUCAUAGAGGAUCAACAUGAGUGAAUCGGGGGAGUGAAUUGUACUACUGUUUAAAGAUUACAUUGGUUCUUGUGUUAGUGGUUUCCUUUAAUUGAAUUUGAUUGACCUCAGCCUGUCCAGUGUGUCAGUGAUGAGUCGGUUGAGCAAAGCACAUCAUCCAUCAGUGUGCAAGGUCACUCCUUCCUCAGAUGGUUAGUAAUGUUUCUCCACAUUCACUGGCUAAGGUGGCACACAAAUUCGAGCUGAACCUGCAGGAGUGAAAACGCCCCACAUGCCUGAACACAGGCACCUCAGAUGACACAACUCCUCGUGGUAAUGGUAAUGGGCAGACAGUGUGGCAGCGAGACAAAGAGUUGUGCUUCUCACCCACCUUCACUCUAGAUCCACUAGCCCCUGCCUGGACUGUCGUCUGACUGAGCUUCUCUGGUGAACACAAAAGAGAGAGGGCUGCAGAGAUGUACAGCCGCGACUACCCAGUCUCCACAGUCUCUUCAGCUGCUGCUUUUCCAGCCACACCAUCAGUGUGAUGUUGGCAGCCGAGCAUGCGGUCUAGAUUGAGCCCAGUCAGAUCAGGCUGGAGGGUCACUUAGGAGGGCCCAUUAAGUCUGACAGCCAGUUCUCAGCUUGCCUCCCUGUUGCUCACGGGGAGAGCUGAGCAGUUGGUCUUCUGAUUGUGGAGGUGCGUGCGUAGUCCUGACUGUUGCCCUGUCUUCACAAGUGUCUUUGAGGCAUGAGGGUUUAGUACAAGAGGUUUGUGGGGGGGCAGAGGCCAAGACUGAUCCUUGAGUACUGUUUUAAAGCACUGGCAUCAGCUCGGGAUGGAAAAGAUUAAAUAUUUAACUAUACAGUUGUGUUCAAUAGUGUAGGCACCCCUGGUCAAAUUAUUUUUUUAAUCGGUUAAAAUUGGCAAAUAAAUAGUAAUUGUGCAUUCAAAUUUGCAGAAUCAUGUCACGUUUAAGUUUGCACCAUGCAGAGGUUGUGCCAACUUCUUUUCACUUAGAGAUUCUUUGAAACAUGCAAUUUAACCAGGGGUGCCUAGACUUUGGCACACAACUAUGAAUAUAUAAAUAUGUUCCUAAAACCGAUUAAACAUUAAAUUAAUAUUUUUUUACAUAAAACUUAACGUUUAAUACGUGUACAUGAUACGGCUGAUGUGAGCACCUGUGAUGAAGAUCACGCAACAUAAACUGUACAUUUUGGACUUAUUAGGGCACUUUUAAUAGAGGCCGGUAAGCCAGGACUCAAAUUUCACUUCGCAUCUGUUUUUUUUACUUGUGAUGGGAAGUGCAUUAGUCCAUACAGAAAAACGAAAGCUGCAGAACAUGAACGUUAGUAUUUUCAACAAAACAGCAGGGGCUUUCUGGCAAAAGAAUGUUUUGAAAACACCAAACAGAAUUUCACUGCAACACAUAACACUUUUAAGAUAUUUUCAAUGGGGUUUUAUAACAUUAGUAUUAUCUAUGAAACAAAUUAUAUAAAAUAGUUUAAAAACAUUUUUCAUUAAAUGUUAUUUGCAUCAGAUCAACAUUAAUAUUAAACAGCAGUACAGUUUUGAAGAGCCCCGAAAGGAAAAAAUGAAUUAGUCUGUGUAGGUGGAGUAUAAAGAAGGGAUGGUGCACAGCAUUAAUGCAAAUUUCCCUUUUCCAGUAACAUCCAUAUUUUCAGAAACAAAUAUAAUACUUGUUUUCAGAAACAAGUUUGAAUGUGGCAGACAGUUUUAAUAUUUUAACUUUUUGUUAACCAUGGAUGGCUUAUGCAGUAGAUGAUCUCAUGAGCACUGUCCUUAAAUACAAUAUUGCCAAUGGGGUCUUGUCUUUGUUUAUAGGAAGUAUUGUCAUAUUUUGAAUGCCUGUCUUUUCUGGUACUUAAUAGUUUUAUGUGAAAUUAAGUUAUAGUACACUCUUAUGAACCACUGUCACCUCUUAGGAAUUUAGUUUGAUUUCACCAACGUAUUCCUUUUCUAAUAAGAGCAUGUGCACUUACCUUUUCUAAAAGACACAAAUGUAUUAUUCCAAAUUGUUUGUUUUUCACCUUUUGAAAGAAUGAGCCUUUUCAAAUGUUCUAUAAAUCUAUUUAAAAAACUGCCUUGAAUUUUAAAUUGGCAUAUCAGUGUUCUUAUUGGAAGACACCUGAAGGCAGGAACACGGACUCCUUGGAGAUGAACAUGAUGAAUGAGGUGUAAAUAACUGCACUUUUUCAUGGGCUGCAUACAGUAUAUGAAACAAUAUCACUGUAUCAAUAUGAAGUGAUAAUGUUGUGUCAAGCAAGAAAAACAAGGAAAAGGUUUUUAUAUUGUUUUAGCAUUGCUUAAAAGUGUAUCUAAAGCUUUUGAAAACUAGGAGGUGAAAACUGUUUUUAGUCAAUUUUGAAAUCAGUGAAACACUUAAUCUUGUAUUGUUUCUUCCAUGUCUAAGAAAUGUGUUGCCUUUGUAAUUGAUGCUAACACAGACAAGAGCCAUGUUGUGUCAUGAAGGGCACUAUAUAAAAUAAUGAUUAGAAUCAUAGGUAUUGGUCAGAAACCCUGAAAAUGGAGAUCAAGAGGAAGUGCUACCGAAGCAUUAUUGUACAAGGCUGUGCACAGGGCUGCAUUCCUCAGUUUGAACAGGUAAAUCGAAAACAGGUCUGUUCUGUCAGUUGCUUAUUCUUUCUAUGGGGUGUGUACAGUUUGGGGUUAUGAUUCUAAUGCACAUUUCUCUUUUUAAAAGCUACUGUUUGUGUUUACUAUUGUACAACACAGAGGUUUGUUAUUUUUCUAAAGGGUGCUUAAUGUAUUCUGCAUCAGUGGUGAAUUUUGAACAUAAAUUCUUCUUUUGUAACAUGUCGGUGAAUAUAUCAUUGACGUACAGUAGUAUCUGUUUAAAUACUUGUCCAAAGAGAAAAUUUGCUAACGUGAAGCACUUUACAAAUAAAUGAACUUUUCCAAAAUUUAAACAAAAAUAUAUUGGCUCUAUGAUAUGUUUCAGGUUUGUUGUAUUUAUUUUAAAUCACCUUUUUGUCGAAAGUACUUGAGUUAUUUUUCCAGACUUGUUACUUUGUAAAUGACAGUGAUGACUCUUUGCGUACAAGUGGGUCCCACACUGUCAGUCAGGCGGUGUUCUGAGAGACCAGCUCCAGGUCAAGGCCUGAAAUGAACAGUGUUGUCUUUCCAUCUUCUAAUUAUGGAAGACAAUCAAAAGUUCUUGCACGGUUUUCUGUAAAGAACCUAGAAUCUUAUCUGAAUUCUAGAGGAUGACUACAGUACAUUGGAUUAAAUUAACUGUGGGUGGUUCAUGUGUUGAACAACACUGUCAUUUCAAAGCCAAAAAAAACACUGUAUACAGUACCAUAGCAGUCACCCACUAUGAACAAACAUAAUGGAAAACUCUGUGAAUGUCUUGUUUCAUUUUUUAAAUAAAAACGUUUA